Molecule: ribosomal RNA, 467 nt
Filed under: uncultured bacterium
Lineage: Bacteria
Description: partial 16S ribosomal RNA
Rfam family: Bacterial small subunit ribosomal RNA
Source: RNAcentral
GACGAACGCUGGCGGCGUGCUUAACACAUGCCAGUCGAACGGAAAGGCCCUGCUUUUGUGGGGUGCUCGAGUGGCGAACGGGUGAGUAACACGUGAGUAACCUGCCCUUGACUUUGGGAUAACUUCAGGAAACUGGGCUAAUACCGGGUAGGAGCUUCCGCUUCCUUGUGGGGGGUGGAAAGUUUCGGCGGUUGGGGGUGGACUCGCGGCUUAUCAGCUUGUUGGUGGGGUAGUGGCUUACCAAGGCUUUGACGGGUAGCCGGCCUGAGAGGGUGACCGGCCACAUUGGGACUGAGAUACGGCCCAGACUCCUACGGGAGGCAGCAGUGGGGAAUAUUGCACAAUGGGCGGAAGCCUGAUGCAGCAACGCCGCGUGCGGGAUGACGGCCUUCGGGUUGUAAACCGCUUUCGCCUGUGACGAAGCGUGAGUGACGGUAAUGGGUAAAGAAGCACCGGCUAACUACGUG